This 464-nucleotide ribosomal RNA is filed under the name Vreelandella stevensii. RNAcentral describes it as "partial 16S ribosomal RNA". It matches the Rfam family "Bacterial small subunit ribosomal RNA", at positions 338 to 795 of the family's 1533-position model. Lineage: Bacteria; Pseudomonadati; Pseudomonadota; Gammaproteobacteria; Oceanospirillales; Halomonadaceae. The record is from RNAcentral.
CCUACGGGAGGCUGCAGUGGGGAAUAUUGGACAAUGGGCGAAAGCCUGAUCCAGCCAUGCCGCGUGUGUGAAGAAGGCCUUCGGGUUGUAAAGCACUUUCAGUGGGGAAGAAAGCCUUGGGGCUAAUACCCUCGAGGAAGGACAUCACCCACAGAAGAAGCACCGGCUAACUCCGUGCCAGCAGCCGCGGUAAUACGGAGGUGCGAGCGUUAAUCGGAAUUACUGGGCGUAAAGCGCGCGUAGGCGGUCUGAUAAGCCGGUUGUGAAAGCCCCGGGCUCAACCUGGGAACGGCAUCCGGAACUGUCAGGCUAGAGUGCAGGAGAGGAAGGUAGAAUUCCCGGUGUAGCAGUGAAAUGCGUAGAGAUCGGGAGGAAUACCAGUGGCGAAGGCGGCCUUCUGGACUGACACUGACGCUGAGGUGCGAAAGCGUGGGUAGCAAACAGGAUUAGAUACCCCAGUAGUC